This 2867-nucleotide long non-coding RNA is filed under the name Gossypium barbadense (sea-island cotton). RNAcentral's name for it is "long non-coding RNA (GBAR_LNC019088)". Lineage: Eukaryota; Viridiplantae; Streptophyta; Magnoliopsida; Malvales; Malvaceae. The record is from RNAcentral.
AUUGAAAGCACAAAAAAUAUCCUAUUCGUAAUAAAUAAUGAAAAAUAAUAGUAAAAGGGAAGUAGGGUCAAAUCCUCAAGGACUGGAUUUGCACAAUAUCUUGUUCUGUGAAAUCCUAGGCAGAAUCUUGCCUAAGAAAACCUGCGUUCCUGAAAAAAAUAAAAAAAAUAGAAGAAUUAAAGGUUUGGAUCUGGAAACGAAAAAUAAAAUAAAAACAGAAUUAGGAAUAUUGAAUCAAAAAUUUGAGAAAAAUAGAGUUGAGAGAAAGAAAAUUCUUAUGGGAGAUUCUAGCCUCCAGUUAUCUCAUUUCGCCUUGGGUUCAAUCCUCGACUUUUAGAUGAUCCUUCCCAAACCAAAUAAGCCAGUUAUAGUGGAAGAGGAUGCCUCGACCACCAGCUCCAAGGAUUUAGACUUACGAUUUGGUGGAACCUGACUCUAGCCAACAAUAGCUUCUAUGAGAUCAUCUUAUGCUAGAUCAACGCUUCUCAAUGGCGAAUCCCACGCCAUUUUGUCUCUUGGGCUCGCCAACCUCUGACGCAGUAAGCUAACGAACCGACUGUGCAACCUUCCCAAAACAUACCAAGCGGCCGCCUUUGCAUACGUUGAAAAGCUUACUUCUUAAGGGAUAUGGACGGAAGCGUCAGCCCCGUAGUGCGAAGAAACGAUGAAUACUCGUUGAGAAGGCUAAGUACAGAUUCUAAGCCUCAUGAACCCUUUUGGAGAUUUUCGACAACCUUUGGCUAGAUGGGUUUAGUAGCUCAUGGUUGUGGUAGAAAAGAAAAUAAAUAAAAUAAAAAUAGAGAUUUUAUUGAAAGGAAAUAUGAGAAGAACAAAAGCUUAGACUUUUGGAGAAAGAGUGUUUACAGAAAAGGAUCCUCCUCUUUUGAGUUAUUUCAUCCCCUAUUUAUAGUGCUAGGGGAGAUAUUCUAAUCCUAUUUAAAUUCCUAAAAAAUAAAUACAUUUAAUUGAAGAUAAAUAAAAAUAAAUAAAAUAAAAUCUUAAAAAUAAUUCUUAAUAAUUAUCUUAAUAUUAAUUAUCCUAAUAUAAUUAAAAUAGAGUUUAAUAGAAUAAAAUCUCUUCUUUUUGCAUUUCAACCCUUGUGUUCUCCAUACUUGCACUUUUGGCAUCAACUUUUCCUUGUGUCGCACAUUGGCCCAUUUUAUUUCUAAAUUCAGGCUUUUGGCCCUUAAUUUUACUUUUGCCUCAAAUUUAGUCCCUAUAAGAUAAAAGAUCAUAAAUAGUAUAAAUUAACAGGAUCAUACUCAGAAUAAAUACAUAAUUAAGAUAUAAAAAUACAUUAUUCUAGAGUGUUAUCAAAUCUCUUACAAGAGAUGGAACCAUUAGUAUGAUGCCUGCCGAAAUAAUAUUGUAGCAUGUAAAAGGUAAAGGCGAAGUGAAGAGAACGCUAAGAGAAUCAGCCAUCAAUCUAUGGAAAUGGGCAGUUAAAGUUACUAUCGUAUCAGAAGUAUUAGUCAAAACCCGUUCACUACUGUAAGAAAAAGAGUAAGAAAGGACAGUGAGAGAAAGUAGAAAGACAUGUUGUAAAACCAAGAUAAAAUUUUUGACAUUUUGGGGGUGUGCUUUGGGAUUUCAAUAUUAUAUUACUAGUUUGUCUUUCACAUUCCUUGCCAAAAACAGUGAAAAACUCAUGAAAGUGGAGGACUUUUCAGGUCACCUUCUUCAAUCUAAGAAACUUUGUUUUUUUGGCUUUAAUUUGCUUUGCCCCCACCUUACCACCCCUUUACCUGUUCAUGGAUCCCAAAGGCUCCAAGCAGCCACCAGCUGAAGUAUCCAACUUCUUGAGCUUGCCACCACAACCCCAACAACAGCCUCAUCAAAGCAUGGGAGAGAACAAAGCAGGUGAAAGCAAGGGUUUCCGGAUUGUUGCAAGUAAAGAAGAAGGGAAGAAACAACAGUUGGCUCCAAAGAGAAGUUCUAACAAAGACAGGCACACUAAAGUUGAAGGGAGAGGUAGAAGAAUAAGGAUGCCUGCUUUAUGUGCAGCUAGAAUCUUUCAGUUGACCAGAGAAUUGGGACACAAAUCUGAUGGGGAAACCAUACAGUGGCUGUUACAACAAGCUGAACCAUCAAUAAUAGCCGCCACGGGGAGCGGAACCAUACCAGCUUCAGCUUUGGCAGCAGCUGGAGGCUCAGUUUCUCAUCAGGGGGCCUCUCUGUCAGCUGGAUUGCACCAAAAGAUGGAAGACUUAGAGGGGUCCAGUAUAGGGUCUGGAAGCAGUAGGACCAGUUGGGCAACGGUUGGUGCCAACAAUUUGGGGAGACCCCAUCAUGUAGCAACAGGGUUAUGGCCCUCAGUCAGUGGUUAUGGGUUUCAGACAUCAUCUGGUCCAUCUACAACCAAUUUAGGCACUGAAAGUUCUAUUUAUCUGCAAAAAAUCGGGAUUCCUGGUUUUGAUUUGCCAGCUACUAAUAUUGGUCAGAUGAGCUUCACCUCAAUCUUAGGUGCGGCUAACCAGCAACUCCCUGGUUUGGAACUUGGGUUGUCUCAAGAUGGUCAUAUUGGGGUUCUAAAUCAUCAAGCCUUAAGCCAAAUUUAUCAACAAAUGGGGCAGGCUAGGGUGCUCCAGCAAAAGCAGAAUCAGCAAAAUCCCCCUGCUAAGGAUGAUUCCCAAGGAUCAGGCCACUAAAGUUAUAAACUUUGGGUACAUACUAGCAUUCCUAAGAGAGGAUGACUUUCUUUCUUGUAAUGGUUUCAGUAUUGUAUAAUUGAAAAAAAAAAAAAAGAAAAAGAAGAAAAAAAGAGUGAGAAAAAUGUAUACUUAGCCUCUCAGAAUUCUACAGGGACAGAAUGGACUUUAGUUUUGCCCCCUUCUCUCUGCACUGCAUCACCCAAGUUUCCAUUACAC